Molecule: long non-coding RNA, 306 nt
Organism: Hirundo rustica (Barn swallow)
Lineage: Eukaryota; Metazoa; Chordata; Aves; Passeriformes; Hirundinidae
Exons: 3
Source: RefSeq, a predicted model, not a curated record
UCUUCUUCGCCUGCCAACAAGAUGGGGCAGAAAAAAGGCAAAUUGCAAAGGUGACGUGGGUAGAAGAAGAGAGCUUGUGGUGCCCUGGAGGCUAUCACAAAGGAGGUAUCUAUGGCUGCUACGCUUGUGAUAUAAAGCUGAGAGAAGGAGGGACUUAGCACAAAUGUCUCCAACAGCUCCAGGUGGUUUGCACUGUGUGGGCCUUGGGUUCUCACCAUGUUGGAGCACAACAAGCAAGGGGGCUGAAGCUGCCCUUCUGACAAGAAAGAAAAGGUGCAUCAUCCUCAAACAACUCUAUCCCCCUCC